UGGGGAAUAUUGCACAAUGGAGGGAACUCUGAUGCAGCGACGCCGCGUGAACGAAGAAGGCUUUCGAGUCGUAAAGUUCUUUUAUAUGGGAAGAUAAUGACGGUACCAUAAGAAAAAGCCCCGGCUAACUACGUGCCAGCAGCCGCGGUAAUACGUAGGGGGCUAGCGUUGUCCGGAAUCACUGGGCGUAAAGGGUUCGCAGGCGGAAAUGCAAGUCAGGUGUAAAAGGCAGUAGCUUAACUACUGUAAGCAUUUGAAACUGCAUAUCAUGAGAAGAGGAGAGGUAAGUGGAAUUUUUAGUGUAGCGGUGAAAUGCGUAGAUAUUAAAAAGAAUACCGGUGGCGAAGGCGGCUUACUGGGCUCAUUCUGACGCUGAGGAACGAAAGCGUGGGUAGCAAACAGG
This 403-nucleotide ribosomal RNA is filed under the name bacterium. RNAcentral's name for it is "partial 16S ribosomal RNA". It matches the Rfam family "Bacterial small subunit ribosomal RNA", at positions 355 to 776 of the family's 1533-position model. The record is from RNAcentral.